Molecule: ribosomal RNA, 494 nt
Filed under: uncultured bacterium
Lineage: Bacteria
Description: partial 16S ribosomal RNA
Rfam family: Bacterial small subunit ribosomal RNA
Source: RNAcentral
GACGAACGCUGGCGGCGCGCUUAACACAUGCAAGUCGAACGGAAAGGCCUGCUUUCCCUUGUGGAUUGCGGGUACUCGAGUGGCGAACGGGUGAGUAACACGUGAGUGAUCUGCCCCCAACUUGGGUAUAAGCCUGGGAAACUGGGUCUAAUUCCCGAUAGGACUGCAGGGUGGUGCCUGUGGUGGAAAACGAUUUUCUAGUGGUUGGGGAUGAGCUCGCGGCCUAUCAGCUUGUUGGUGGGGUAAUGGCCUACCAAGGCGGCGACGGGUAGCCGGCCUGAGAGGGUGGACGGCCACAUUGGGACUGAGAUACGGCCCAGACUCCUACGGGAGGCAGCAGUGGGGAAUAUUGCACAAUGGGCGGAAGCCUGAUGCAGCGACGCCGCGUGGGGGAUGACGGCCUUCGGGUUGUAAACCCCUUUCGACCGCGAGGAAGCCACCUGGUUGGAAGGGUGGUGACGGUAGUGGUAGAAGAAGCACCGGCUAACUACGUG